UACGUAGGAUGCAAGCGUUGUCCGGAAUUAUUGGGCGUAAAGAGCGCGCAGGCGGUAUGACAAGUCAGAUGUGAAAGAGGCCGGCUUAACCGGCAAGGGUCAUUUGAAACUGUCAGACUAGAGUGCAGCAGAGGAUAGUGGAAUUCCCGGUGUAGUGGUGAAAUGCGCAGAUAUCAGGAGGAACACCGAUGGCGAAGGCAGGUCUCUGGGCCACUACUGACGCUGAGAAGCGAAAGCAUGGGGAGCGAACAGG
Molecule: ribosomal RNA, 253 nt
Filed under: uncultured bacterium
Lineage: Bacteria
Description: partial 16S ribosomal RNA
Rfam family: Bacterial small subunit ribosomal RNA
Source: RNAcentral